GGCUACGUAGCUCAGCUGGUUAGAGCACAGCACUCAUAAUGCUGGGGUCGCAGGUUCGAAUCCCGCCGUAGCCACCA
This 77-nucleotide transfer RNA is filed under the name Idiomarina fontislapidosi. RNAcentral describes it as "tRNA-Met". It matches the Rfam family "tRNA". From Rfam's summary of the family: Transfer RNA (tRNA) molecules are approximately 80 nucleotides in length. The record is from RNAcentral. RNAcentral also lists the same sequence under 14 other names. Lineage: Bacteria; Pseudomonadati; Pseudomonadota; Gammaproteobacteria; Alteromonadales; Idiomarinaceae.